This 301-nucleotide ribosomal RNA is filed under the name uncultured bacterium. RNAcentral's name for it is "partial 16S ribosomal RNA". It matches the Rfam family "Bacterial small subunit ribosomal RNA", at positions 509 to 807 of the family's 1533-position model. The record is from RNAcentral.
CAGUCGCCGCGGGAAUACGAAGGGUGCAAGCGUUAAUCGGAAUUACUGGGCGUAAAGCGUGCGUAGGCGGUUUGUUAAGUCUGUUGUGAAAUCCCCGGGCUCAACCUGGGAAUGGCAAUGGAUACUGGCAAGCUAGAGUGUGUCAGAGGAUGGUGGAAUUCCCGGUGUAGCGGUGAAAUGCGUAGAGAUCGGGAGGAACAUCAGUGGCGAAGGCGGCCAUCUGGGACAACACUGACGCUGAGGCACGAAAGCGUGGGGAGCAAACAGGAUUAGAUACCCCAGUAGUCCCUGUCUCUUAUAC